UCCGUAGGCGGGCAAUUAAGUCAGAGGUGAAAUCCCACAGCUCAACUGUGGAACUGCCUUUGAUACUGAUGAUCUUGAGUUUUAGUGAAGUAGAUAGAAUGUGUAGUGUAGCGGUGAAAUGCAUAGAUAUUACACAGAAUACCGAUUGCGAAGGCAGUCUACUAACUAACAACUGACGCUAAUGGACGAAAGCGUGGGGAGCGAACAGGAUUAGAUACCCUGGUAGUCC
This 229-nucleotide ribosomal RNA is filed under the name uncultured bacterium. Its description in RNAcentral is "partial 16S ribosomal RNA". It matches the Rfam family "Bacterial small subunit ribosomal RNA", at positions 568 to 796 of the family's 1533-position model. The record is from RNAcentral.